This 460-nucleotide ribosomal RNA is filed under the name uncultured bacterium. RNAcentral's name for it is "partial 16S ribosomal RNA". It matches the Rfam family "Bacterial small subunit ribosomal RNA", at positions 338 to 795 of the family's 1533-position model. The record is from RNAcentral.
CCUACGGGUGGCAGCAGUGGGGAAUAUUGCACAAUGGGGGAAAGCCUGAUGCAGCGACGCAGCGUGAAGGAAGACAGCCCUACGGGUUGUAAACUCCUUUCAUAAGGGAGUAAAGUGACGAACGUGUACCAUCAUGUGUAGACUUGAUGAAUACGGUGCGCCUAACUCCGUGCCAGCAGCCGCGGUAAUACGGAGGAUACAAGCGUUAUCCGGAUUGAUUGGGUGUAAAGGGAGCGUAGAUGGGUUGUUAAGUCGGGUGUGAAAGUUGGCGGCUCAACCCGCAAAUUGCAAUUGAUACUGGGAGCCUUGAGUACAGUUGAGGUAGGCGGAAUUCGUGGUGUAGCAGUGAAAUGCUUAGAUAUCACGAGGAACACCGGUGGCGAAGGCGGCCUACUAGACUGUAACUGACGCUGAGGCUCGAAAGUGUGGGGAUCAAACAGGAUUAGAUACCCCUGUAGUC